GUUCCCUGUUGGAUCGGCUCGCUACUGCUGCGCCCGACUGCAUGCAAGGCUUCAGUAUUAGUGUGCUCACUGAAAAACUUGACCUUGAAAGUCCAGGCGGACUGCCAAUAUUCUGAACACGGUGAGACGAGAAGAGGGACAAGUCAGAUGACCUGCGCCCUUAUAUCUGUUCCCUUGAGCAGGAAUGAUAACAGUACUCGAAAAGGCUCUUGGGGAACGUAGUUCUUCUUCUCUUCCAGACAGGUACCCGGAACUAAAGCAUUUGCUCCUUAACUCCCAGUACACUGCAUGAUGUUGUGAUGUGGAAUACCGAUAACCAAAAAUCAUAAAACCAUGACAAUGGGGUUUAACUUUUCACUCAGGCAUAUAGCUUCUGGUCCUUUGUUAUAUGGUUUUUUGUUUGUUUUUUUUUUUAAUAAUUUUUAGUAUUUUUGUUUCUAAUGAAAAGAUAAAAUAAUUUUUAUUUGUUUAGAAAGUAUGAAAAAAACAAUUCCUGUAUAUAUUUCAAUGAGCUUGGAGAUCUUGAGUACAGCCAAGAUUGAAAUUGUAUUCCUACGCUUUGCAGUUUUUAAUGAGAAAGAUGAUUCCAAAUCAGAGUUGGGAGCAUUCUCAAGAAAAGCUGAACAUCACUGUGAAAUCCUAAUUCUCUUACCAAUUCUGCUUAGCACUUGAACUCCUGCUAGUGCUCAUGCCAGGUGACUGCUCAACUUAAAGUCCUUCAGAGAUGGGUCUUUUCCAACCUUUUGUCUUGAAGUAAUUUGCUUGUAUUUCCUGGCACCAAAGAUUUGUACUCCAGUCUUCUAUUGCUCGGGAGAAUUCAUGAAACACUGGGCCUAAGGGCAAAGAAACUCUUUAUGCUUUGUACUUACCCAGUUGCUUGAAAGGCAACGGCUUUAAAAAAAUGAGAUGGAAAAAAAAUAUCUAUGCUGUAUCCAAAUAGAAGCAGAGCACUGGUUUCUUACCAGCUGCUCACCUUCACAAUUCCUGUUUGAGCUAACGUUGCUGUGCUUUGAGGCUCAUGCACUGUGCUGAAAAUGCUUGAUUAUAUGCUUUCAUUUGCAUGGCAUGAGCUGGCUCAGGGAUCUCCUGAUACCAUCCUGUGUUGAUAACCUCCAGUGUGAGCAUGGUCUCAGGACACCAGUUCACAACCUCUGGCUUGGUGCAGGGAGGUGGAUUCAGCUGGAAGAGCAGCUUGCUGCCAUCAGGAAGGAGAAUCUCUAUCUCCUACCUCUCUCCUUCCUGUCAUUUAUUUCAUGAUAGCUCCAGCACUCAGUCAGAUGGUGAACUCCUUUUAAUCGGUAGCUGGCAGAAAACUAAGUUGGGAAGAGAAAAAUAAAGAGUAUUUGCUACCAUGUUCAUGAUACAUUAGGUUCAUUCUUCUCAUUUAUCUAACAGAAUAAAGUGAAUUAGAUAAACAAAUAAAUACCAAAUCUGGAACAAGGGAAGGGACAGGAUAUCAUGUCUGGGAAAAGAAGAGAAAAUGAAAAGGGAGUGAGCCUUUCCCUCAGUAUUAAUUUGUUUCCUUUGAGUUGUUGUUUGAUUCAGCCAUUACAUAAAAUGGCACAUCACGUUUUGUGUUUUUUGUUGUUGUUGUUUUUCUGUCUGCAACAUCACUAGGCUGCUAUCCACAGAGGAAGUUCAUAAGGACCUAUGUUUCCAAAAUUCACUUACCUUUUGGACAAAGAUUGAUUCUCAGUAAUUUUUUUUUUUUUUUUUGCAGAGAUUUUGCAGAACUAUUAACAAAUCUAAAGUCCGCAUCCUUCAGUGAACCAUUUGAUAUUUAAAGAGGUUUAAAGAGUUUCUACCAAUCCAGAAUCCAGAAUCAUUUAGUCAACUGUGCCCAAAGUCAGCAAUCCUUAACACAAACUAAUGUGUCAGUUUGCUCCUGGGAGUUGUAUAUCUAAGAACAAAAUUAAUUUGAUUUUUUUUUCCUUUUUCAUUAUUUUUUUCUAAGACCUGCCUUUCUGCUACUUUAGAACUAGUUGCAAGUAAAUAAAUAAAUAAAUGAAAAUUAAAUAGCCUUGCAAAAAAGUAGAAUUAACAUUUGAAAAAAAAAUUGAAAAAAAUUUAAAAGAAAAAAUUGAAAAACAUUUAUUUCAGGCAAGGUCAAAAUAGAAGCACAUGGUUACUUAAAAAUAGCAUUUGUUUAAGACAGCAUUUGUUGUACUAUUCACACGUGUAAUCAAACACCAUUGCUUGAGAUCUGCAAUAGCAGAUUAGUAACAGAAUUUGAUCCUUCAAAACUUGUUUUUUUUAAGUUAUGUUAUUGUCAGUAGUCAGAUAGAUAACCAUAGAUGAAAUAAUGAACAAUGCUGAUAAGUAAUGCAUAGUGAAGUUUUGUUUAAUUUCUUUUGUUGUGUCUCAUGAAUUAAUUUUGUGGAAAAUGUAAUUGAUCUCAAAAAUGCCUACACCAUUUUGUUGUGUUUUUUAAUCAUAGCAAUCUUUCAGUUUAUAUAAGCAUGGAGACAAGUACAUUAGGUUAGGAAGCUUCCUCCCUCCGUAGUUGGCACCACAACUAUAACCUAGCAAAUAGAAAUGAGGCAGCUUAAACAUUUCAAACCAUUUUUCACAGAGUGCCAUUGAAAACAAGCAAGCGAACAAAUAAAUAAAUA
Long non-coding RNA from Gallus gallus (chicken), 2612 nucleotides. RefSeq lists it as uncharacterized. The transcript is spliced from 2 exons. NCBI's taxonomy places the organism in Eukaryota, Metazoa, Chordata, Aves, Galliformes, Phasianidae. The record is from RefSeq and is a predicted model, not a curated record.